RNAcentral lists this ribosomal RNA (492 nucleotides) under uncultured bacterium. RNAcentral describes it as "partial 16S ribosomal RNA". It matches the Rfam family "Bacterial small subunit ribosomal RNA", at positions 29 to 507 of the family's 1533-position model. The record is from RNAcentral.
AGUGAACGCUGGCGGUAGACCUAACACAUGCAAGUCGAACGGCAGCACAGUAAGAGCUUGCUCUUACGGGUGGCGAGUGGCGGACGGGUGAGGAAUACAUCGGAAUCUACUUUUUCGUGGGGGAUAACGUAGGGAAACUUACGCUAAUACCGCAUACGACCUACGGGUGAAAGCAGGGGAUCUUCGGACCUUGCGCGAUUGAAUGAGCCGAUGUCGGAUUAGCUAGUUGGCGGGGUAAAGGCCCACCAAGGCGACGAUCCGUAGCUGGUCUGAGAGGAUGAUCAGCCACACUGGAACUGAGACGCGGUCCAGACUCCUACGGGAGGCAGCAGUGGGGAAUAUUGGACAAUGGGCGCAAGCCUGAUCCAGCCAUACCGCGUGGGUGAAGAAGGCCUUCGGGUUGUAAAGCCCUUUUGUUGGGAAAGAAAAGCAGCAGGUUAAUACCCCGCUGUUCUGACGGUACCCAAAGAAUAAGCACCGGCUAACUUCGUG